Molecule: ribosomal RNA, 460 nt
Filed under: uncultured bacterium
Lineage: Bacteria
Description: partial 16S ribosomal RNA
Rfam family: Bacterial small subunit ribosomal RNA
Source: RNAcentral
CCUACGGGCGGCAGCAGUGAGGAAUAUUGGUCAAUGGACGAGAGUCUGAACCAGCCAAGUAGCGUGAAGGAUGACUGCCCUAUGGGUUGUAAACUUCUUUUAUAUGGGAAUAAAAUGUUCCACGUGUGGGAUUUUGUAUGUACCAUAUGAAUAAGGAUCGGCUAACUCCGUGCCAGCAGCCGCGGUAAUACGGAGUAUCCGAGCGUUAUCCGGAUUUAUUGGGUUUAAAGGGAGCGUAGGUGGAUUGUUAAGUCAGUUGUGAAAGUUUGCGGCUCAACCGUAAAAUUGCAGUUGAAACUGGCAGUCUUGAGUACAGUAGAGGUGGGCGGAAUUCGUGGUGUAGCGGUGAAAUGCUUAGAUAUCACGAAGAACUCCGAUUGCGAAGGCAGUUCACUGGACUGCAACUGACACUGAGGCUCGAAAGUGUGGGUAUCAAACAGGAUUAGAUACCCUUGUAGUC